UGCCAGACUCCUACGGGAGGCAGCAGUGGGGGAUAUUGCACAAUGGGGGAAACCCUGAUGCAGCGACGCCGCGUGUGGGAAGACGGUCCUCUGGAUUGUAAACCACUGUCCCCAGGGACGAAGAUGACGGUACCUGGGGAGGAAGCUCCGACUAACUACGUGCCAGCAGCCGCGGUAAUACGUAGGGAGCGAGCGUUGUCCGGAAUUACUGGGUGUAAAGGGAGCGUAGACGGCGGCGCAAGUCCGGAGUGAAAGCCCACGGCCCAACCGUGGGACUGCUCUGGAAACUGUGCGGCUUGAGUGCGGGAGGGGCAGGCGGAAUUCCUAGUGUAGCGGUGAAAUGCGUAGAUAUUAGGAGGAACACCGGCGGCGAAGGCGGCCUGCUGGACCGUAACUGACGUUGAGGCUCGAAAGCGUGGGGAGCAAACAGGAUUAGAUACCCCUGUAAG
This 449-nucleotide ribosomal RNA is filed under the name uncultured bacterium. RNAcentral describes it as "partial 16S ribosomal RNA". It matches the Rfam family "Bacterial small subunit ribosomal RNA", at positions 329 to 793 of the family's 1533-position model. The record is from RNAcentral.